Molecule: ribosomal RNA, 497 nt
Filed under: uncultured bacterium
Lineage: Bacteria
Description: partial 16S ribosomal RNA
Rfam family: Bacterial small subunit ribosomal RNA
Source: RNAcentral
GACGAACGCUGGCGGCGUGCCUAAUACAUGCAAGUAGAACGCUGAAGGAAGGAGCUUGCUCUUUCUGGAUGAGUUGCGAACGGGUGAGUAACGCGUAGGUAACCUGCCUGGUAGCGGGGGAUAACUAUUGGAAACGAUAGCUAAUACCGCAUAAAAUUGAUUAUUGCAUGAUAGUCAAUUAAAAGGUGCAACUGCACCACUACCAGAUGGACCUGCGUUGUAUUAGCUAGUUGGUGGGGUAACGGCUCACCAAGGCGACGAUACAUAGCCGACCUGAGAGGGUGAUCGGCCACACUGGGACUGAGACACGGCCCAGACUCCUACGGGAGGCAGCAGUAGGGAAGCUUCGGCAAUGGACGGAAGUCUGACCGAGCAACGCCGCGUGAGUGAAGAAGGUUUUCGGAUCGUAAAGCUCUGUUGUAAGAGAAGAACGAGUGUGAGAGUGGAAAGUUCACACUGUGACGGUAUCUUACCAGAAAGGGACGGCUAACUACGUG